UGAGGUUUGCAUUCUAGAAAGCUAGAUCUUAGUUCCAGGCUUUGCCACCAAAUAGCUGGGAGAUCUUGCACGUUGGGGAGGACAGGUACCCUUCCCAACAGAGGCUGCCCUGCAGGCGCUCAUAAGCCAUACUUGGGCAUUGCCCGAACCAUGAGAUUCAUCUAAUUUGCUGUUCCUUGUCUUGUUAAUGAGGAUAACUAUCCCACUGCUUUGGAAAAAAACCUUGAAAUUCUAGUUCAGAGGCCAGACAGCAGGAUGCCGCCCUGCACAGGCGACUUCAAUUAGGUGCUGGGACUCACAACCUUGCGGCCUUAUCCUAGCUCAGUAUGGAAAUUACCUGCGACGGUCCCUAAAACUGGUAGAUGCCCUGGGCCCACCCACUCCAGCACAACUAAAUCGGAAUCUCCAGGAGGGCCCGAAACAUCAGUGUUGUUUAAAAUUUCCGGAGGUGAUUUUGAUGCUCAGCCCAGGUUGAGUGUGACUUGGGCCUAUGACUUCCCAUCAGUGACCAAAGGCUGCUAGCAUCUACCUUCUGUUCUCCUGCAGAUUAUGUUAUUAAACAAGUCACCUGAAUCUUCUAGACACUAAGAUCAGCACCGAGUGUUUGCUGUCAGUACAAAUGCAAAGGGGAUUAUGGGAAUGAUGUCGGUCAAGAGACUUGAAGUGAGUCUGCACGAGAAAACGGUAUUCUUAGGAGCCGUCCCUCUGUUCUUGUUUGCCACCUUAGGCCAAUUAAUGUGCGUCCAAGUUGUCAUUACUUGCUAACUUCUCUGAUCAGACUUACGUCUGGUACCCAGGUCAACAUGAUGUUGACGGUGAUGAUCGUGGUGAUGGUGGUGAGGAUGAUGGUAAUGGUGAUGAUGACGUUUCCCCAAUUCACUAGGCUGAGCAGUUCUGUGAAACGAUGGGCAUGACUCUGGGGUGUCAAGAGCUGGUCACCACUGUGACCUUGGGCCAGUCACUAUCCUUUCUGAGCCUUAGUUGUUUUUUUUCGUUUAUAAGAAGAGGUGUGAUAGACUAAAUGGGUUUUCCACAGCUAUUUCAGAGUGGAACCCUUCUAAAAUAAAGCGGUUUAGGGCUUCCCUGGUGGCGCAGUGGUUGGGAGUCCGCCUGCCGAUGCAGGGGACACGGGUUCGUGCCCCGGUCCAGGAGGAUCCCACAUGUCGCGGAGCAGCUGGGCCCGUGAGCCAUGGCCGCUGAGCCUGCGCGUUCGGAGCCUGUGCUCCGCAACGGGAGAGACCACAACAGUGAGACACGCGCGUACCAC
Molecule: long non-coding RNA, 1267 nt
Filed under: Phocoena sinus (vaquita)
Lineage: Eukaryota; Metazoa; Chordata; Mammalia; Artiodactyla; Phocoenidae
Description: lncRNA (ENSPSNG00000003354.1)
Source: RNAcentral